AGACAUUUUCAAAAAUACAUUCUUUAUUAAGUGGCAAAACACUUUUAUGCUCUUGUUCUUUAUAUAUAUAUAAUAAUAAAUAUUUAAAUAAAUUUUAACUUUUUAUCGAAUUAUACUAUUUCGAAUUUCAAACCUUAAACCCUAAAACUUAACUAUAAACUCUAAACCAUCAAUCCUAAACUCUAUUUUGUUUUUAAAUACGAACCCAAAACCCUAAACCCUAAACCAUCAAUCCUAAAUCCUAUUUUUUUAAAAUACGAACCCUAAACCCUGAAACAUCAACUCUAAACCCUAAACCCCGAAACAUCAACUCUAAACCCUAAACCCUAAACCUUCAACUCUAAACCCUAAACUUCAACUAUAAACCCUAAACCAUCAACACUAAACCCUAAACUAUCAACACUAAACCCUAAACUCUAAAAAGUAAACUCUAAACCCUAAACCCUAAAAAAAUAAACCCUAAACCCUAAAACAUCAACUCUAAACCCUAAACCUUCAACUCUAAACCCUAAAUCCUAAACCCUAAAUCCUAAACCCUAAACCCUAAACCCUAAAA
This 556-nucleotide long non-coding RNA is filed under the name Brassica napus (rape). RNAcentral describes it as "long non-coding RNA (BNAP_LNC017661)". The record is from RNAcentral. Lineage: Eukaryota; Viridiplantae; Streptophyta; Magnoliopsida; Brassicales; Brassicaceae.